AGCAGCCGCGGUAAUUCCAGCUCCAAUAGCGUAUAUUAAAGUUGUUGCAGUUAAAAAGCUCGUAGUUGAAUUUCGGGGUCAGUAGGUUGGUCGUGCCACUGGUAUGCACUGGCCUUACUGAUUCCUCCCUCUUGUAGAACCGUAAUGCCAUUAAUUUGGUGUUGCGGGGAAACAGGACUGUUACUUUGAAAAAAUUAGAGUGUUUAAAGCAGGCUAACGCUUGAAUACAUUAGCAUGGAAUAAUGAAAUAGGACGUUCGAUCCUAUUUUGUUGGUUUCUAGGAUUGACGUAAUGAUUAAUAGGGACAGUUGGGGGCAUUAGUAUUCAAUUGUCAGAGGUGAAAUUCUUGGAUUUAUUGAAGACUAACUACUGCGAAAGCAUUUGCCAAGGAUGUUUUCAUUAAUCAAGAACGAAAGUUAGGGGAUCGAAGACGAUCAGAUACCGUCGUAG
RNAcentral lists this ribosomal RNA (450 nucleotides) under uncultured Glomeromycotina. RNAcentral describes it as "SSU rRNA". It matches the Rfam family "Eukaryotic small subunit ribosomal RNA", at positions 569 to 1023 of the family's 1831-position model. Lineage: Eukaryota; Fungi; Glomeromycota. The record is from RNAcentral.